Molecule: ribosomal RNA, 335 nt
Filed under: uncultured Glomeromycetes
Lineage: Eukaryota; Fungi; Glomeromycota; Glomeromycetes
Description: LSU rRNA
Source: RNAcentral
UUGAAAGGGAAACGAUUGAAGUCAGUCAUGUUGGUAGGGAAUCAACUUGAUGGUUUGCGGGUUUACUCGUGUUCUUUCGAGUGCACUUCCUUACUUGCUAGUUAGCAUCAAUUUUGGUUAUCAUAUAAAAAUUGAGGGAAGGUGGCUUUUCUUCGGAAAAGUGUUAUAGACCUUGAUUAAUGUGGUGACCGGGAUUGAGGAUUGCAGCGGAUACCCUUUUGGGCUAGUCACCUGGCUUCUGAUGAUUACCCUGCCUUCGAUAGCUUGCUGACGUUGGUGGGACUCGAUUGUCUAGAUGUUAGAGUGAUCAUAAAUUCGUUAAGGAUGUUGACGUA